CGUCACUAAAUAAGCAGUAUGAUGAAGAAAAACAUUAAUUACUGGAUCAGGUACAAAAUUUAUCUUUGAAAGUUGAUACUCUGAGUAAAGAGAAAAUUUCUGUUCUUGAGCAGGUAGAUCACUGGUCCAACAAAUUCUCAGAAUGGAAGAAGAAAGCACAGUCAAGAUUUACACAGUAUCAAAACACUAUUAAAGAAUUGCAGAUUCAGCUCGAGUUAAAAUCAAAGGAAGCUCAUGAAAAGGAUGAGCAGAUAAAUUUAUUGAAGGAAGACCUUGAUCAGCAAAACAAAAGAUUUGAUUGUUUAAAGGGUGAAAUGGAAGAUAAGAAGAACAAGAUGGAGAAAAAUGAGUGCAGUUUAGAAAGAGUUAAAGAAUCAAACAGCAUGAAUUGUGGAAUUAGAGGACCAUAUAACCCAGAAACUACUGAAAUAGAGUCCUUAAAUGAAGUUCUUAAAAAUUACAGUCAACAAAAGGAUAUUGAAAACAAAGAAUUGGUUCAGAAACUUGAAUAUUUUCAAGAGUUAGGAGAAGAAAAGGACAACAGGGUUAAAGAAGCUGAAGAAAAGGUCUUAACACUUGAAAAGCAAGUUGCUUCCAUGAAAGCUGAACUUGAAACUAAGAAGAAAGAAUUACAACAUGUGAAUUUAAGUGUGAAAAGCAAAGAAGAGGAGUUAAAGGUACUGGAAGAUAGGCUUGAGUCAGAAAGUGCUGCAAAAUUAGCAGAGUUGAAGAAAAAAGCUGAACAAAAAAUUGCUGCCAUUAAGAAGCAGCUGUUAUCUCAAAUGGAAGAGAAAGAAGAACAGUAUUUCAGAACAGAAAGCCAUUUGAGUGAGCUAAAUGCAAAAUUGCAGGAAGGAGAAAGGGAAGUUCACAUCUUGGAAGAAAAACUUAAAUCAGUGAAAAGUUCACAAUCAGAAACAUUAAUUGUACCCAGAUCAGCAAAAAAUGUGGCAGCAUGUACUGACCAAGAAGCAGAUUCCCAAGAUUGUGUGCAGAAGAUGUAUGAAGUGUUUAACAAAGAAAUUUAACUGAAAAAGAAAAACUAUUGCAGAUGCUGGAGCAAGAAAAAGAAGAGACAAUUUCUUCUCAUUCUGAAAUGUAAUGCAAAUACCAGGAGCUCUUAAUAAAGCUAGAACAUGGUGAAGCAAAGCAAUGUGAAGAUCAAGUUAUGAUCAUCUUCAAGAAGAACUUGAAGAAGAAAUAUUCCUUGAUAGUAUCCCAACAUGUGGAAGAAGGGGGAGGUAAAAAUAACACAAAGGAAAAGCAAGACUUGGAAAAUGUGGUUGAUGAUGUUCAGAAAAUCCUCCAGGAGAAGGAACUAACCUGUCAGAUCUUGGAGCGAAAGAUAAAAGAGAUGGAUUCCUGCUUAGUAAGACAGAAAGAAGUACAUAGAGUUGAAAUGGAAGAGGUGACCUCAAAAUAUGAAAAAUUACAGGCUUUACAACAACAGAUGGAUGGAAAAAAUAAACCCACAGAACUUUUGGAGGAAAACACUGAAGAAAAAUCCAAAUCACAUUUGGUCCAAUCCAAAUUGCGUAGUAACAUGGAAGGCCAGCACAAUGACCUGGAAUUUAAAUUAGCAGGGGCAGAAUGGGGAGAAACAGAAACUGGGCAAGGAGAUUGUUAGAUUUCAGAAAGACCUUCGAAUGUUGAGAAAGGAGCAUCAGCAAGAAUUGGAAAUACUAAAGAAAGAAUAUGAACAAGAAAGGGAAGAGAAAAUCAAACAGGAGCAGGAAGAUCUUCAACUGAAGCACAAUUCCACAUUAAAACAGCUGAUGAGGGAGUUUAAUACUCAGCUGGCACAAAAGGAACAAGAGCUGGAAAUGGCCAUAAAAGAAACUAUCAAUAAGGCCCAGGACAUGGAGGCUGAACUUUUAGAAAGCCAUCAAGAAGAGACAAAUCAGUUACUUAAAAAAAUUGCUGAGAAAGAUGAUGAUCUAAAACGAACAGCCGAAAGAUAUGAAGAAAUUCUUGAUGCUCGUGAAGAAGAAAUGACUGCCAAAGUAAUGGACCUGCAGACUCAACUUGAGGAGCUGCAGAAGUAAUAUGAGCAAAAGCUAGAGCAGGAGGAGAACCCUGGCAAUGAUAAUGAAACAAUUAUGGAGCUACAGACACAGCUAGCACAGAAGACGACUUUAAUCAGUGAUUCAAAAUUGAAAGAGCAAGAGUUCCAAGAACAGAUUCACAAUUUAGAAGACAAUUUGAAGAAAUAUGAAAAGAAUGUAUAUGCAACUGUGGGGACACCUUACAAAGGUAGAAAUUUGUAUUAUACUCUUUGGAGAACCUACCGAGUUUGAGUAUUUCUGAAAAGCGCUUUUUGAGUAUCUGAUGGUUCCUGAGACUAAGACCAUGGCAAAAGUUAUAACCACUGUACUGAAGUUCCCUGAUGAUCAGACUCAGAAAAUUUUGGAAAGAGAAGAUGCUAGGCUAAUGUCACGGCUCUGAUCUUCAUCUUGAAGAAGAGCGCUGCUG
RNA transcript from Sapajus apella (tufted capuchin), 2472 nucleotides. It is a transcript of the gene named golgin subfamily A member 4 pseudogene, with no coding region annotated. The transcript has a single exon. Lineage: Eukaryota; Metazoa; Chordata; Mammalia; Primates; Cebidae. The record is from RefSeq and is a predicted model, not a curated record.